UCAGAAUCAACGCUGGCGGCGUGCCUAACACAUGCAAGUCGAACGAGAAAGCGGGGGCAACUCCGUGAGUAAAGUGGCAGACGGGUGAGUAACACGUGAACAACCUACCCUCGAGUGGGGAAUAACACCGCGAAAGCGGUGCUAAUACCGCAUAACAUCCUCAGAUCGCAUGGUUUGAGGAUCAAGGGCGAAAGUCGCUUGAGGAGGGGUUCGCGGCUGAUUAGCUAGUUGGUGAGGUAACGGCCCACCAAGGCAACGAUCAGUAGCCGGCCUGAGAGGGCGAACGGCCACACUGGAACUGAGACACGGUCCAGACUCCUACGGGAGGCAGCAGUGGGGAAUUUUGCGCAAUGGGCGAAAGCCUGACGCAGCCAACGCCGCGUGGAGGAUGAAGGUCUUCGGAUCGUAAACUCCUGUCAGGGGGGACGAAAACCCCGCAAGGGGUCUGACUGUACCCUCUGAGGAAGCCACGGCCAACUCCGUGCCAGCCGCCGC
RNAcentral lists this ribosomal RNA (495 nucleotides) under uncultured bacterium. RNAcentral describes it as "bacterial SSU rRNA". It matches the Rfam family "Bacterial small subunit ribosomal RNA", at positions 24 to 518 of the family's 1533-position model. The record is from RNAcentral.